Molecule: ribosomal RNA, 254 nt
Filed under: uncultured bacterium
Lineage: Bacteria
Description: partial 16S ribosomal RNA
Rfam family: Bacterial small subunit ribosomal RNA
Source: RNAcentral
CACGUAGGGCGCGAGCGUUGUCCGGAAUUAUUGGGCGUAAAGAGCUCGUAGGCGGCCUGUUGCGUCCGCUGUGAAAGCCCGGGGCUUAACCCCGGGUCUGCAGUGGAUACGGGCAGGCUAGAGGUAGGUAGGGGAGAAUGGAAUUCCCGGUGUAGCGGUGAAAUGCGCAGAUAUCGGGAGGAACACCGGUGGCGAAGGCGGUUCUCUGGGCCUUACCUGACGCUGAGGCAGCGAAAGCGUGGGGAGCGAACAGG